Long non-coding RNA from Gymnodraco acuticeps, 234 nucleotides. RefSeq lists it as uncharacterized. Lineage: Eukaryota; Metazoa; Chordata; Actinopteri; Perciformes; Bathydraconidae. The record is from RefSeq and is a predicted model, not a curated record. The transcript has 3 exons.
ACCAAUGUGAUAGUCAAUAUGGAUCCAACAGUGGAGCUCGUCGGCCAGCGCGCGCCUUCGGUGUGUAGGGAGUAUUAAUGGACAGGAGUUGUACCAGGUGCUACCUGCAGAGGUCCCUCCUCCCUACUUCCCUCCUCCCGUCCCUGCUGCUCCUUCACUAAGCUACAACUCAAACGCACCCGACCCCAUCGCUGUUUCCCGUAGGUGGUGGGCCCGCGGGACGGAGAAGCGGAG